This 73-nucleotide transfer RNA is filed under the name Pteropus alecto (black flying fox). It matches the Rfam family "tRNA". Rfam says of the family: Transfer RNA (tRNA) molecules are approximately 80 nucleotides in length. Lineage: Eukaryota; Metazoa; Chordata; Mammalia; Chiroptera; Pteropodidae. The record is from Rfam by way of RNAcentral.
GGUUCCAUUGUGUAGCAGUUAGGAUAUCUGCUUUACAUGCAGAAAGUCCUGGGUUCAUCCCCCAGUGGAGCCA